AUCAAUGGCAACACAGGUGAAGGGGAGGCCACCUUACACCAUCCACAUAGAAUUAAGGUUCCAGCAGUCAUAGUUAUAUGAGUGAUUCCUGAGUGAGACCAGCAGAAAAACCAGCUCAGACUGAUGACCCCCAAUUCAUGAGUGAAUAAAAUGGCAGUUACUUUGAGCCACUAAGCUCUGGGGUAGGAAUACACAACAGAUACAUUAACCACCCCCACCCCCACCCCCGCGCCCUUGGGCAGUGGGGCAUAGCCAGCUGCCAUGCCUAUGUUGGAAAACAACAUUGUCUCCCUUUUUAUUUUAUACUUUCAAAACAUAUUUGUUAAAUAUCUACAUACUCAGGCAUGCUAUCCCUCCCUCCCUGGAUUCAUGGAUUUUUGAAGAAGAAUGUAUAUUUUUCUUAAGCCUUUGCAACUAUUUGCGGCUUCUUCAAAUGCCUCACAUUUCCUCAGAUUGCUUUUUCCUUAGUUCCUAACAUGGCUGAAUGUACAUGAAAAUUAAUUUUAAUUUGCCUGUUUUCUACUCCAGCCUCUUAUCGCUGCCUCAGAGAAGCUUUCCUGAAAUGGUGGUCCUCUUAUGCCAGGGAUCACCAUUCACCUAAAGCCCAAGGGAGAAUUUGUCUUUCUUUCUUCAAGUUACUUUUGGGCUUGGUUUGCUGCAGAGUGACAUUUUGUCAUUUUUCAAAGAUUUCAUUUUACCUUCUAAAUAUGUUUUAGCGAUUCAUAUUUACUAUUCAUUUCUUCCGUAAAUUAAAUCUAGAUUGCACAAUUUAUUCUGGAACUUUAUACACAUCUCAUUUUAUUUAAUAAUGUUUUCAACUAUGUAUCAAGUUAUUGUACAGGAAUUUAACAUACUGUUACAGAUAAAAUAAGAUGCAGAGUGUAGGCCAUAGGGCAGUACCAGUAUAAUGGUUUUAUAGCUUUCUUAUUACUAUUUGUAAAAAUGUUAUUACAAAAUGAAUAAAGUCAAAUUCAGCAGUUUUACUUUUAGCAAAAGAGAUACAUUUGUGAUGGGGGUGUAUGGGAAUGCAUGUCACAGCAACUCAAUAUUUUCUGCAUGGGUGUUUUGUUACUGAUUUGAAAGUUUCCCUGGAAUAUAUAGAAUAUAAAAUACUUGAUAUUUUCUUUCUGAUAUUUCUUACUGUGAUUCUAGUAUUUAAUAUAAUGUAUAUUGUGCUAAUCAUUUGAAAUUACCACAUGUGAAUUCUAAAAUAACCAAGUACCUAUUCUCUUGCUACAUGUUGCAAUAUACAUUAAAGUUGGUUGUCUUAGCAUGGUUAUCAAUUUCCUUAACUGUAAAAUGGGCUAAUAUUGACAUUCCAAAGCCCAUUGUGAGGAGCAAGUGAAACAAUGCAUUUCCAGCACUUUACACAUUGAUUGGCAAAUAAUGGAAUGCUCAAACAUCAGUAGCAAAAUAUAAUGCUUAUAUUUUACAUAUGAGAAUGUAAUAUUUGGGUUAAGUAGAUGGGCGUCCUGAAAAUCUCUUUUUACUUUGUUGAGGCCCCAUGUUGAAGGAAUCUUUUAUGAUUGUAUCAGGAAAAACGUUUUGUUACAAAUGAAUGAAGAAGUGGUUUUUUUUGUUUUUGUUUUAAUUAAAAAACUUUCAUACAGAUCUAGAAUACCUAAGUACUGUUAAACUAGCUGGAAUAAUAUUUUAAGAGAAACAUCUUUUCAAAUAAUGUAUGGUUUUUAGAACAUGAUCAGGAAAACUGAAGAUAAUAAUUAUUCUACUGCUUAUCUAAUAGGCAGGACCAAUCCAAGUUGUUUAGCAUUUUAAAAUUAUGCAAUUUGGGGGAGCUUUUAGAGAAAAAACCCACAAACAUUAUAAACCCAGAAGUUAGGUAAUGUACCAUGAAAGGGGCCUAUGUGUGUAACAGAAGCUUUGUGGCCUCUUUGAUUUUCUUAUGAAGGACAUGUUCAAUGAGUUCAGAAGAAAAUUAGUAACUUUUUUUUUUUAUUCUGAUUGGGGAAAUUGAUUUUGUAGCUUGUUAUACUAACUUGUGCUGAGAAUUUUUAAAAAAUUCACAGUAACCUAUUUAAUAGUUCUAGUAUUUCUUCAAAUGUAUUUUUAUUAACUAUAAAGUAAAAUAUCUAAGUAGCGAUAUGAAUGUAUUACUGUUGCACUUGUUUUAUUGAGAUCAAAAGAAAUGGAUCAGUUGAUAUGUGUAAUUGAUGACUAGAUUUUUCCAGUGAUGUUGUGGGAAUAGUUUCUUCAGUUGGAGGUGAUGUCUGUAACAUUACAGCUGAUAAUGUGGAAAAAAGUAAUUAUCUUGAGAGUAUUUAUAUUAAAAGAGGAGGCAGAUUCAAGCAAUACUUAAGGCAUAAAGAGAAUUUCAUUGAAAUCACAUUUGAUACAAAGUAUAUGCUCAGGUGUUAUUUGCAUAUUGAUGUGUACAUUAAUUAAUAAGUAUUUGUUUUGGAAUACGGCUCUAUAGCACUAAAGUAUAUUUUUAUGAAUAGGAAGAAACUAGUUGCAUUUUUUACAGGUAAUUCCUGCAAAUUGGUAUUUACAUUUUAAUGUUAAUAUCUGAAAAUUUGGGGAUCCAUGAAAAGAAAAAAAAUCACUGUUUUUUAAAUAUUAAAAACAGCCCUUGAAAAACAAUUAAUAUUCUGAAGAUUUUUGUAUCUUGUCUGUCCACAUAUUCCCUCUAUAAUAUCCAGGCUAUAUAGGCAAUGACAAGUCUUUCAAACUGCCUCAAAGCACAUAGUACAAAGUUUUCCUUGAUGGGGUAAUAGGUUUUGUGGGAUGCAGUUCUGUUUGCAGGGAAAGAAGCCCUGUGCGCUGUGUUAAUGGAGCUGGUACUCAUUCUUGCUGAAUUGGUGCUAUCAGUAGCAACGGGAAAACAUGAUUUGCCACUGUUAGCUGAAAUCAUGCGUUGACUAUAUAGCAGUCCAAUGAGGUGAGGCCUGCAGGGGAAUAAGGUGUAAAAGAGUGAGAGAGAGUGAUAUGCUGGUCCUAAGCUUGUUAGAGUUCAGGCUGUAUCGACAGCAUUCUACAGUAUAAGACUUUUGGUUUCAGCACCUUGAGUCAAGGCUGGAACACAGGGUUGUGCCACUUGGGACUCAUUCAGCUGCCAGUGGAAAACCCAACCCAGAUUGACUCAAGCAUCAAAGGAACUUCUUGGUUCAUAACACCUGAGCGCCUUAAGGGUUAUCUUCAGAUAUAGUUUUAUUCAGGGUUGAAAUCAUUGGGAAACUUGGAUAGAAUUUUUGGCUUUGUUUUCCCUCUACUCAUUCCUUUCUGAGAUUUGGAAGGAUGGAUUACCUUAGCUUCAUAGCAUCACAGUAUGAAGCUGAAGUUCAGAGGCAGAGGGAGCAAGACAAAGAGGAGAAAAGGGGUGGGGGUAGAUAAGGAAGAAGAGAGAGGAGAAAGGAUGGGAGAGGGUAUGAAGAAGGAACUGCUUCCUAACAGUCUGAACAAAGAUCCUUUAAUUGUUUUUUUUCAGCCCUGGUUGCUUACAUGUGCCCUGUUAAUAUCUCCAAACUUGGAACUUGGUUAGAAAGAGUCAGAUCAUUGCUUGAUUCAUUUACUUAUUUCUUCCUCCUGUUCUCCCUUCCUCCUCCCAUCCUUCCCUCCUCUGCUCACUUUCAGAAUUAUUUUCCAUGGAAAGCCCCUUUCCCAUCCUCCAUGUAAAAUUCAAAAGCCCAUAAUAGUGCUUUAGUGAAAUUUUAAUAUUUUGCUUUGAUAAUCAGUGUUUCAUGCUGUAAGGGAAAAAAGAAUUUUCUCUCUACUAUUCUAGAUUUUUGGCUGAGACCCCUCCCGUAAUAAAAAGACAUUAACAGGAGAAAAAAACAAAUGGAAAUUUAAUUACAUGUAAAACUCCUAUAUACAUGGAAGAUAUGCAGGAAAAAUGAGUAAUUCCCAUAAAUGGCUCAAGCCAGCAUCUUAAAUACCAUCUUUAACUAAAGACAAAAAGAUUUUGGAGGCAUAGGGAGAGUUAUGGGAGAUUAUCAGGCAAAGCACAGUAAACAAGAGUAUGGUCGUUAUGUAGAUCUAUGUAGGAAUCUUUUCCGUGGUAAGUUUCUAGAGGUUUAGUUAUCCUCCUCUUUUGGUGCAGAGAAGGAAAUAUCCUUACAAGUGGUUAUUUCCCUCAUAAAUGUAAAAUGUCUCUUACAAAAGGGUAACUUCCAGGUAUUCUAAGCUAUUCCUGUGUCUGCUGUUUCUUUAUUUUUUUGUCUUUUUGCCUUUUCUUGAGCCGCUCCCAUGGCAUAUGGAGGUUCCCAGUGGCUACAGCUCCAAUUAGACCCCCAGCCUGGGAACUUCCAUAUGCUGCGGAAGUGGCCCUAGAAAUGGCAAAAAGACAAAAUAAAUAAAUAAUUAAAUAAAACUUUACCAUAUACACUUAAUGAUUUGUAAUAAUAGCCUUGUUAUUAUUAUAGAUCAAAUAAAAUUAAAGGUGAAUAUUUCUAAAUGAUGAAAUGCCACUUUAUACUAAACAUUACACUACCGAAUAUUUAUAGUCAACAAAAAAUCAAUAUUACAAUUUUAGUUUGUAUUGCUGAAUUGCAGAAAUUUGUCAACCCACCUUAUCUAGAAUGUUGCUUGUUGUAUACAAAACAAACUGUAUGUAUGGUUCUUAGUGGUGAUUUCAGUUUUAGUUGGAAUGAAUUGCCAGAACGUUUCUUCAGUUUCAGCUCUGCCUUAUAUUACAGUUGUGGGAAGAAAGUAUCUAUAAAACCUAAAAAUUUAAUUUAAUAUAAUAGUAAACUUUGACUUCCACAGUAAAGGAUAUUUCAUUCUGGUAUCUAUAUAAGUCCAUAACUUCAUGUUCCUGAAGAUAGGAAUUUUGAAUGUUUUGUGCUUCUUUGCAUCAGAACCCAGUACAGUGUUUGCUAUGUAGAUAAAUGAGUGGAUCAUUAAAUUUAAAAAAUCCUUUUUUCCUAGAAUCUUAAUGCUGGUUGAAAAAACUGUUUUCUAAUUCACUGCAUUUUAUUAAACAAACAAAAUAAAAAUAGAUAAGAGGCCCUGCUAGGAGACCAGUCUAGAAAAUUGAUAAUGGAAAUAAAAAAAUAACACUAAAUUCCACAUUAGCAGAGAUAAAUGUUUUAUUUGGGUUUUAUAGAGAAGAAUGAAGCUAAACUUGAAAACUAUUUUAUCUCAUAUUUAACAAAAAAUAGUUAGAACUAUGCCUAUUCCUAGAGCAAAAGAAACACUCAAAUCUUAUCAUUCCUCUGCACAUUUUUAUAUAAUAUUAAUCAGUAGCAUAAAAGGAUAAUUUUUACUUCACAUUUAACUUUCACAGCAGGACUCUAAGGAAGUUAAUUUUUUGAAGUUUAUUUUCCCCUUUUUUAUUGAGAUAUAAUUCACAUGCUAUAUAGUGUCACCUUUUUAAAAGGUUUACAAUUUAGUGGUUUUUUAGUAUAAUCACAAGGUUGUGCAACCAUUGCCAUUAUCUAUUUCUAGAACUUUUUUCAUCUCCCUCAAAAGAAAAUCCAUAUCCAUUAGCCAUCAUUCCCCUUCCUACCUCCCGGGAGAUUAAUUUUGGGGGAAAAA
RNAcentral lists this long non-coding RNA (5493 nucleotides) under Sus scrofa (pig). RNAcentral describes it as "lncRNA (ENSSSCG00050038286.1)". The record is from RNAcentral. Lineage: Eukaryota; Metazoa; Chordata; Mammalia; Artiodactyla; Suidae.